RNAcentral lists this ribosomal RNA (442 nucleotides) under uncultured bacterium. RNAcentral describes it as "partial 16S ribosomal RNA". It matches the Rfam family "Bacterial small subunit ribosomal RNA", at positions 338 to 795 of the family's 1533-position model. The record is from RNAcentral.
CCUACGGGUGACAGCAGUGGGGAAUAUUGGGCAAUGGGCGCAAGUCUGACCCAGCAACGCCGCGUGAAGGAAGAAGGCUCUCUGGGUUUAAACUUCUUUUUAGACGGAAGAGCACAAGACGGUACCUCUUUAAUAAGCCACGGCUAACUACGUGCCAUCAGCUGCGGUAAUACGUAGGGUGCAAGCGUUGUCCGGAUUUACUGGGUGGAAAGGGCGUGCUGGCGGGAAGACAAGUCAGAUGUGAAAUCCCGCGGCUCAAACGCGGAACUGCAUUUGAAACUGUUUUUCUUGAGUACCGGAGGGGUCAUCGGGAUUCCAUGUGUAGCGGUGAAAUGCGUAGGUAUAAGGAAGAACACCAGUGGGGAAGGCGGAUGACUGAACGGAAACUGACGGUGGGGCGAGAAAGCGGGGGGAGCAAACAGGAAUAGAUACCCGGGUAGUC